AUUCCCUUAGUAUCAAACAGUACAAGUGACUUCCAAUCACAUAGUCCUGGUUAAAGUCCAGGGGGGAAUA
This 70-nucleotide transfer RNA is filed under the name Spea bombifrons (plains spadefoot toad). RNAcentral's name for it is "tRNA-Gly". It matches the Rfam family "tRNA". Rfam says of the family: Transfer RNA (tRNA) molecules are approximately 80 nucleotides in length. Their secondary structure includes four short double-helical elements and three loops (D, anti-codon, and T loops). Further hydrogen bonds mediate the characteristic L-shaped molecular structure. tRNAs have two regions of fundamental functional importance: the anti-codon, which is responsible for specific mRNA codon recognition, and the 3' end, to which the tRNAs corresponding amino acid is attached (by aminoacyl-tRNA synthetases). tRNAs cope with the degeneracy of the genetic code in two manners: having more than one tRNA (with a specific anti-codon) for a particular amino acid; and 'wobble' base-pairing, i.e. permitting non-standard base-pairing at the 3rd anti-codon position. Lineage: Eukaryota; Metazoa; Chordata; Amphibia; Anura; Pelobatidae. The record is from RNAcentral.